AUUGACUUCAGUGGGGUUUGA
This 21-nucleotide microRNA is filed under the name Columba livia (rock pigeon). RNAcentral describes it as "cli-miR-1803-3p". Lineage: Eukaryota; Metazoa; Chordata; Aves; Columbiformes; Columbidae. The record is from miRBase by way of RNAcentral.